Long non-coding RNA from Rhinopithecus roxellana (golden snub-nosed monkey), 614 nucleotides. RefSeq lists it as uncharacterized. Lineage: Eukaryota; Metazoa; Chordata; Mammalia; Primates; Cercopithecidae. The record is from RefSeq and is a predicted model, not a curated record. The transcript is spliced from 3 exons.
ACCUCAUUCUGUGGUGUGAACAGGGGGAUUCCCAUCUUCCUGAAACGACUUAGUCUUGAGCUGCCUGUGCCCUUCCCAUCGCAGUGAAUGUUGUCAGUUGGGGAUGACUGGGCAGCCAUGGGGAAGGCAAGAAUUCAAUUCUGGGUCCUGAGCAGGGGUUGUCCUGGUCAACAAGCAACUUCAGUUCCUUGGGACAGGACCCCAGACUUGCUGGUAUGACGUCAUUGUUUCUUUACUGGAAGACAGCAGCGUAUUCCAGGAGCGCAAUGCAGUAGAAAGCAACCACUUGGUCCUAGAGACCGAGACUAAUUUCUGGGAAAGAGGCAGCUAGGCUCCUCCGCCUUACGCAGGUCAUGAAGACUCAGUACACUGAGAUCGAAGGUCCUCAGUUCCUAGCUAAGCAAGCCUCCAAGGACUGUGACAUCCCAACCUUCGGACGAGGAUGGAGGCGGGAGGAGACACAGCCUGGCCAGGAGACCUGGGGUUGGGGAUCUGCCCCUGGUCUGGCUCAGCAAUCAGGCAAGUCACUACCCUGGCUGAGGCCAGCUUUGUUGGCAGUGAAAUGGGUGAACGCUGCCUCUGCUUGAAUCAAGAGUUUGUCAGGAUGCUGUGGG